AGAGUCCUCGCCCCGAACUGCCCCGCCUCCUCUUCCGAGCAUAUGCGGCAAGCGGGGUGGGGGGCGGGGAAAGAGGAGGGAAAGGGCCUCUGUCUGGAAGAUACGGCGGUUUGAAUUUUAUUUUUCCUUGGUAAACGCUCACCGAGGACGCGGGGAAGUAAAGAGGCCACUAAUGCGAAAGUUAUUCUGUGGGAUUUUAUAAAAAUAAAUAAAUAAAUUCCCCCCUUCUUAGUUUUGGCGUGGGAAAUUUAAGACUCUCGAAUUAAGCCAUGGUUCCAGGUUCAUUCCUUCAGAGAGGAGGAGUUCCCUUACUAAAUACUGUAUGCUUCUUUGAGGCUAUAGUUCUAGAUGCAGUUCUUUAAAAAUAAAUCCUAUUGAGCCUCCGAGGGGGAUGAUCUACUGCAAAGGAACUCCCGAGGUAUCUUCGUCUAAACUUUUGCUUUGGGGUUUCUUUCAUUGCCAUUUUGUUGUAUCAAAACUGUUUCAUUCCAUAUGUUUGCCGAGAGGAAACGGAGAUACUCAGAAGUGAAGGCACUGGCACUACAAAACUGUCAUUAUCAAACUGAAUUGCAACUGCAAAGCUCUCACUGAAGAAAAUGAUCCAGUUGCUUUUUUUGAAAUUAGAAAAACAGACUGAAAAAGAGUUACCGCAGGAGCACAAGUAAAGCAACAUUUUUUAUUGAUCUAUCUGCCAUAAACUCAAGAUCCCUUUCAUGAUUUCUAUAUAGAACACGAAUGGAAAAAGAAAAUUAGGAGUAAAGCCAGAUGAAUGGAAGGUCAAUUUGUCCUGAAAAAGUUGGAAGCCACAUUCCAUUCCACCUGAGGGUUUAUGCCAUUCUUACUAAGAAGACAAAAAGGAUUGAUAAGAAAAAUAAUUUUAUAGUUUUGCAGAUUUAUGAAUAGGGAAUCUAAAUGGAUCUAGGAAGAUAACUUUAAAAUGUCCUGAGGUUACGUGAUCACCAUUUGCAACCUUCUUUGCUGACUCCCUACAAGCAAGCUUUCCAGUGAGAAAGCUGGAAAAAGAUCACAAAUGACUACAUCUUUUUAACUAUGGAAAUUCCAGCCCCAAUUCCCAUAAUUCCAUCCUUUUGAGGUCGGUAACCUGAGGACCCAGAUUGUUGGGGGCAAUAUGCUGACUCUGUAAAGCACUAAGUGAAGCGGUAUAUAAGUCUGAGUGCUAUUGCUAUUAACCGAGGGCUAUGUUUGUUAGAAAGCAGAGAAUAAGUUCCUUCAGACCUACAUGUGUGUAGGUCUAACUAUUAUUAUUUAAAUUUGUAUUCUAUCUUUUUACCUUGGAACCAAAAUUCAAGAAACAUAACAAAACAACUGUGUUUAACUGCAUUUAAUUAAAGUAAUAACACAAAUUGAUACCAUAUAAAUAACUCAUUAAAAGCUCAAGAAACAUUACAAAAACAAUAACUAUAUGUAAUUGCAUUUAAUCAAAGUAACAACACAAACGUAAAAUAAUACCAUAUAGGAACACAUGAAAAUUGUUCAAAAAAGUAAAUAAAAAAGAUGUAUCUUGAUACAUUUCUUGAGGGUAGACUAAAUGGAGAGUUACAGCAACUCUAAAAGGAAUUCAUUUCAGUCCGGGAGAAAUUCUGCUAGAGAUCUCAUCCUAUGUGUCCAAAAAAAAUAAGUAUCUAUAACAGAUCUGUGAUAAGGCCUCCUAAUUUUUGUCCCUCAGAUAGCCAUUGAAGAAUUUAAUGAUUACAUCCAACAUCAAGCCCACAAAACAAUUGGCCAAUAUAAAGAUUUUUCAGCAAACAUGUUGACAAAAUAUAUUUCCUUGUUAUUAUUCUGACAUUGAUGUUUGCUUUUGCAUGUGGAUUUUAACAAAAUCAAAUUACCGGUAACUGAAUGCAUACAUGCCAGUUUGUGGUGGUAGCUAAGAUGCUGGUCUAGAAACUACAAGACCCUUGAGUUGUAGUUCCACCUUAGGCAUGAAAAAGCAGCUGGAUGACUUUGGGUCAGUCACACACUCUCAAACCAGUCUUCUUCACAGGGUUGUUCAUGCUGGAAGGAAAGGAAAGGAAAGGAGUAUUAUGUAUGUACACCAUCUUGACUUCUUUAUAAAGUAAUAAAGAUGAGAUAAAAAUUUAAUGAAACUAAAUAUUUUAAAAUUAACAAAAUUAUGAUACUCUGGUUUUUUUCAUUU
This is a long non-coding RNA of Ahaetulla prasina, 2158 nucleotides long. RefSeq lists it as uncharacterized. The record is from RefSeq and is a predicted model, not a curated record. The transcript has 6 exons. Lineage: Eukaryota; Metazoa; Chordata; Lepidosauria; Squamata; Colubridae.